This 465-nucleotide ribosomal RNA is filed under the name Vreelandella stevensii. Its description in RNAcentral is "partial 16S ribosomal RNA". It matches the Rfam family "Bacterial small subunit ribosomal RNA", at positions 338 to 795 of the family's 1533-position model. The record is from RNAcentral. Lineage: Bacteria; Pseudomonadati; Pseudomonadota; Gammaproteobacteria; Oceanospirillales; Halomonadaceae.
CCUACGGGUGGCUGCAGUGGGGAAUAUUGGACAAUGGGGGCAACCCUGAUCCAGCCAUGCCGCGUGUGGGAAGAAGGCCCUCGGGUUGUAAAGCACUUUCAGUGAGGAAGAACGCCUGGUGGUUAAUACCCAUCAGGAAAGACAUCACUCACAGAAGAAGCACCGGCUAACUCCGUGCCAGCAGCCGCGGUAAUACGGAGGGUGCGAGCGUUAAUCGGAAUUACUGGGCGUAAAGCGCGCGUAGGUGGCUUGAUAAGCCGGUUGUGAAAGCCCCGGGCUCAACCUGGGAACGGCAUCCGGAACUGUCAAGCUAGAGUGCAGGAGAGGAAGGUAGAAUUCCCGGUGUAGCGGUGAAAUGCGUAGAGAUCGGGAGGAAUACCAGUGGCGAAGGCGGCCUUCUGGACUGACACUGACACUGAGGUGCGAAAGCGUGGGUAGCAAACAGGAUUAGAUACCCCGGUAGUC